This 75-nucleotide transfer RNA is filed under the name Brochothrix campestris FSL F6-1037. RNAcentral describes it as "tRNA-Gln". It matches the Rfam family "tRNA". From Rfam's summary of the family: Transfer RNA (tRNA) molecules are approximately 80 nucleotides in length. Their secondary structure includes four short double-helical elements and three loops (D, anti-codon, and T loops). Further hydrogen bonds mediate the characteristic L-shaped molecular structure. tRNAs have two regions of fundamental functional importance: the anti-codon, which is responsible for specific mRNA codon recognition, and the 3' end, to which the tRNAs corresponding amino acid is attached (by aminoacyl-tRNA synthetases). tRNAs cope with the degeneracy of the genetic code in two manners: having more than one tRNA (with a specific anti-codon) for a particular amino acid; and 'wobble' base-pairing, i.e. permitting non-standard base-pairing at the 3rd anti-codon position. Lineage: Bacteria; Bacillati; Bacillota; Bacilli; Caryophanales; Listeriaceae. The record is from RNAcentral.
UGGGGUGUAGCCAAGCGGUAAGGCAAUGGAUUUUGAUUCCAUCAUGCGUAGGUUCGAUCCCUGCCACCCCAGUCA